This 118-nucleotide ribosomal RNA is filed under the name Acanthamoeba sp. HK-P26. RNAcentral describes it as "partial 18S rRNA". The record is from RNAcentral. RNAcentral also lists the same sequence under 2 other names. Lineage: Eukaryota; Discosea; Longamoebia; Acanthamoebidae.
GAUUAGGAGACGUUGAAUACAAAACACCACCAUCGGCGCGGUCGUCCUUGGCGUGUCUCGGCUUCACGGCCGGGGCGCGCGAGGGCGGUUUAGCCCGGUGGCACCGGUGAAUGACUCC